Molecule: ribosomal RNA, 119 nt
Filed under: Pseudognaphalium luteoalbum
Lineage: Eukaryota; Viridiplantae; Streptophyta; Magnoliopsida; Asterales; Asteraceae
Source: RNAcentral
GAGUGCGAUCAUACCAGCACUAACGCACCGGAUCCCAUCAGAACUCCGCAGUUAAGCGUGCUUGGGCGAGAGUAGUACUAGGAUGGGUGACCCCCUGGGAAGUCCUCGUGUUGCACCCU